This 789-nucleotide long non-coding RNA is filed under the name Aquila chrysaetos chrysaetos. RNAcentral describes it as "lncRNA (ENSACCG00020011240.1)". Lineage: Eukaryota; Metazoa; Chordata; Aves; Accipitriformes; Accipitridae. The record is from RNAcentral.
GCAGGAAUCCCUGGAGGCGAAGCGGGGCCGGGGCCGGGCGGAACGGCUGGAGCGGCUGCUGCGGCUGAACGAGCUGCGCUGCGGGCUGGCCCCCGUCUACGGCAGCGAGGUGCUGGGGCUCUGCACCCUGCCCCCCCCCCACCCCACCCCCGGGGGGGGCCCUGGCCCGCGCUGUCCUCGCCCCCCCCCAGCGCCUACGGCAGCUCCAGCCCCUACUGGACAGGUUCAUCUUCGUGCUGCCGCCGGUGGAGGCGCGGGGGGUGGCCCUGCACAGCUGCCGCCCCCCCCCCUUGGCGCCUGCGGCAGCGGGCGCAGCUGGAGCAGCGGCUGCGGGGAGGAGCUGGCGCCCCGCGGGCGAGCCCUGCACCGGGUGCUGCGCAGCAUGCGCACCCACUUCCCCGACCUGCGCCUCAUCCAGUACGACUGCGGGAAGCUGCAGACGCUGGACGUGCUGCUGCGGCGCCUGAAGGCGGGGGCCCACCGCGUCCUCAUCUUCACCCAGAUGACCCGGAUGCUCGAUGUCCUCGAGCGUUUCCUCACCUACCACGGCCACAUCUACCUGCGCCUGGACGGCAGCACCCGCGUCGAGCAGCGCCAGGUGCGGGGUUGGGGGGGGGGCACCCGCGCAUCCAGGCACCGACACCCUCGGACCCCCCCUCCGUGGAGACCCAGUUCUCCAGGAACCUUCCCGUGAUCCCACCUUGGAGCCGCAUCUCAACGGCUUCACGGUAGCACGGAGGACACGGCAGCAGGCUUAGGGACACCCAGGGGGAUCCCAGUGGUUUGGGG